This 1426-nucleotide ribosomal RNA is filed under the name Salmonella enterica subsp. enterica. Its description in RNAcentral is "partial 23S ribosomal RNA". It matches the Rfam family "Bacterial large subunit ribosomal RNA", at positions 1241 to 2649 of the family's 2925-position model. Lineage: Bacteria; Pseudomonadati; Pseudomonadota; Gammaproteobacteria; Enterobacterales; Enterobacteriaceae. The record is from RNAcentral.
CUGUAAGCCUGUGAAGGUGGCCUGUGAGGGUUGCUGGAGGUAUCAGAAGUGCGAAUGCUGACAUAAGUAACGAUAAAGCGGGUGAAAAGCCCGCUCGCCGGAAGACCAAGGGUUCCUGUCCAACGUUAAUCGGGGCAGGGUGAGUCGACCCCUAAGGCGAGGCCGAAAGGCGUAGUCGAUGGGAAACGGGUUAAUAUUCCCGUACUUGGUGUUACUGCGAAGGGGGGACGGAGAAGGCUAUGUUGGCCGGGCGACGGUUGUCCCGGUUUAAGCGUGUAGGUGUGUGUUCCAGGUAAAUCCGGUUCACUUUAACACUGAGGCGUGACGACGAGGCACUACGGUGCUGAAGCAACAAAUGCCCUGCUUCCAGGAAAAGCCUCUAAGCAUCAGGUAACAUCAAAUCGUACCCCAAACCGACACAGGUGGUCAGGUAGAGAAUACCAAGGCGCUUGAGAGAACUCGGGUGAAGGAACUAGGCAAAAUGGUGCCGUAACUUCGGGAGAAGGCACGCUGACACGUAGGUGAAGUGAUUUACUCAUGGAGCUGAAGUCAGUCGAAGAUACCAGCUGGCUGCAACUGUUUAUUAAAAACACAGCACUGUGCAAACACGAAAGUGGACGUAUACGGUGUGACGCCUGCCCGGUGCCGGAAGGUUAAUUGAUGGGGUCAGCGCAAGCGAAGCUCCUGAUCGAAGCCCCGGUAAACGGCGGCCGUAACUAUAACGGUCCUAAGGUAGCGAAAUUCCUUGUCGGGUAAGUUCCGACCUGCACGAAUGGCGUAAUGAUGGCCAGGCUGUCUCCACCCGAGACUCAGUGAAAUUGAACUCGCUGUGAAGAUGCAGUGUACCCGCGGCAAGACGGAAAGACCCCGUGAACCUUUACUAUAGCUUGACACUGAACAUUGAGCCUUGAUGUGUAGGAUAGGUGGGAGGCUUUGAAGUGUGGACGCCAGUCUGCAUGGAGCCGACCUUGAAAUACCACCCUUUAAUGUUUGAUGUUCUAACGUGGACCCGUGAUCCGGGUUGCGGACAGUGUCUGGUGGGUAGUUUGACUGGGGCGGUCUCCUCCUAAAGAGUAACGGAGGAGCACGAAGGUUGGCUAAUCCUGGUCGGACAUCAGGAGGUUAGUGCAAUGGCAUAAGCCAGCUUGACUGCGAGCGUGACGGCGCGAGCAGGUGCGAAAGCAGGUCAUAGUGAUCCGGUGGUUCUGAAUGGAAGGGCCAUCGCUCAACGGAUAAAAGGUACUCCGGGGAUAACAGGCUGAUACCGCCCAAGAGUUCAUAUCGACGGCGGUGUUUGGCACCUCGAUGUCGGCUCAUCACAUCCUGGGGCUGAAGUAGGUCCCAAGGGUAUGGCUGUUCGCCAUUUAAAGUGGUACGCGAGCUGGGUUUAGAACGUCGUGAGACAGUUCGGUCCCUAUCUGCCGUG